This is a long non-coding RNA of Tripterygium wilfordii, 1720 nucleotides long. RefSeq lists it as uncharacterized. Lineage: Eukaryota; Viridiplantae; Streptophyta; Magnoliopsida; Celastrales; Celastraceae. The record is from RefSeq and is a predicted model, not a curated record. The transcript is spliced from 2 exons.
UCCAUUUUCGGUUCAUUCCCUCUCUAAGUGUAGUCAUGGUGAGUGGUGCGGUGACGCUUUUGGUUAUAUUGAGUUGCUUUGUCGCUGAUGGGUCGGAAGGCUCACAUUAUCGUCAAGGCUCAUACACAGAUUCUCUGACGAGGCUAAAGGGUUUUGGGUGUCGAGGAAUGGGGCUGUGUCGGGUGAUUUGUGGCCUAAAAGGGGGGGUGCUUGGAGUACAUAGAGAUGCUUAUUCUUAACGAUUUGAAGCGCCGUAGGAGGAAGCUCGGCUCCCAGACUCAGGUGCUGUUUCCCUCCGAAGGAAGCCGGACUUUCUCCUCGGGAAUGAGUUUGAUUGGUUACAUUUCACGUGGAUUGGUAUUGGGACACCGAAUCUGUCUUUUCUUGUUGCAUUGGCUACCGCAGCGAUCUUCUUUGGGUCCCUUGUGAUUGCAUGCAAUGCGCUUCUUUGUCUGCUAGUUAUUAUAAUGCGUUCGUAUGCAAGACUUUGCUAUACUAUUGUGUUCUUUUGCUAUUUUCUGUUCAUUGCGUCUCUAUUUCAUAUUAUGUCAUAUUUGAGUACUUUACUUUAACUUAGCUGCUCUAUUAGUUCUGCUUCUUUAUAUGAAAUUUUUUUGGGGCGGCUGAAGUCACUCGCUUACAUUUCAUGGGGCUUACGAUUGAAGGAAAUUCCUAUAAUUCCUUGAUUGGAACUUCUAUUGUUCGGUUUGGCACUUUAGCCAAUUAGCUUCGCAUUGGAAUCAUGUAUUGAAAAAUGAAAAUAUGUACCUUUUCCUCUCAAAUAGUGCUGCCGCUUCUUGUUUUUGGUUCAACAUUGCUGCUGUCUUGCACAAUUUGCUGAAUAUACGUCGACUUAUUUUCUCCUCAUGAUUAAUGUGCCCAAAAGCCACUAUUCUUCAAAAGUGCUACCUUUUGAUAUACACAUACAUAUAUAGUUUCUUUAUAUGAACCACUCUGUUUAGUAUCUAUUAGUUUCUCCACUUUGCACACAGCUGAAGACAAGUCAAAGCCCCUAGCGGAAUUACUUCAAUUGACUCUUGGAGUGUUUAGCUUGGAGUUACAUAGAGGUGUAGCGUUUAAUUCCAAUUAUUGAUUGACGGAUGCUUCUUCACAUUUUUGGCAUCUAUUUUGCAGGAUAGAGACUCGAACAAAGUCUCUCUCUGAAAUGUAACCUGUAGAAAAUUUUAUGACGGCUAUCUCAUCAUUUUUGAUAGGGAAUUUGAAGCUGGGAUGGUCUACUUCCAACUGUGAGUAUAAUUAUUUUCUUCUCUCUAUCAUAACAUUAUUCUGUACCUUAUAUGCGUUGCAGACUAUAUUUUUCUGAAUCUGUUGAAGUGUUGAUUUAUUAUACUCAUCUUUUGUGGUUAACCAUAAUUGUGAAGAAUAAUUAUAGAUUUGAAAAUAGAUUCAUUUGUUAGGAAUAGCUUCAUUAGAACAAAUAUUCUGUUGUUCUUCUGCACUCCCCAAAUGUGCGCUCGCUGCAUGCAUUUUAAUGAUGAUUACUUGGUGUCUUUCUUAAAGUUUAUGUAUUUGAUUUGUCUUUGUUGUAUUUGAAUUAUUGCGGCCUUGAUGAACAGUAACAUACUUAUUUUUUCUGUUUACCUUAACUUUUAGUCUCUAGCUGUUGUUUGCAUCUUCUCAGGCUUCCCUCUAAGUUGAGCUGCGUACUUAUUUCCCUUCUUGGUGAUUGAUAGCAAUCCUUCUUGAAUCCCAUUGUUUU